Octopus sinensis (East Asian common octopus) is the source of this 2618-nucleotide long non-coding RNA. RefSeq lists it as uncharacterized. The transcript has 2 exons. NCBI's taxonomy places the organism in Eukaryota, Metazoa, Mollusca, Cephalopoda, Octopoda, Octopodidae. The record is from RefSeq and is a predicted model, not a curated record.
UAUAUAUAUAGAUAUAUAUAUAUAUAUAGUGUAAACCUGACUACUGACAGUAUCCUUAUUGGUUCAAGCCUUGGCAAGGUGCAACUCUAGGUGUCACAGGCUUCACUCCAUCAUAAAUUGAACUUUUAGCAAUGGGAAGAUAAUCUUGCUGGUGCUGGUAGAUUCUUGCUACAAUAUUCACAUGUCUGUAUUUGUAACAGCAACCCCAAAACAUAGACAAUCCAUCCAUGACAACAUGGGGAAAAUGUUAUAUUGCAUUUAUAACUUUUUUUUUCUUUUUUGCUGUAUUGUAUUGUAUGUGGAAAACUUGAGUCUUAGAUACUAUCUUCAUCUUUACACUACCUAUGAUCAUAACAUGCAGCCCCUCUACAUGGUCCUUUUGGCAAAGUAUUAAAUACUAUAACCCUGGACUGACCAAUGGCUUGUGAGAAAGUUUGAUUCAUGGAAUCUGUAUAAAACACAUGAACAUGCAUAUAUAAUUAUAUAUAUAUAUAAUUUUCUGAAGCAUUGUCAUAUAAAUGUUUUUAAUUACUUUUUUCAAAGCUAAAAACAUUGCAUGUUAUUAAAAAUUAAUAAUACAAGUCAAUGGUUUGCACUUUUACUUGGUAUUUCAAUAUUUUGAGAAUAGGAGCCCUUCUUCAGGAAAUUUACAGAAGAAACGUUUUGUUAGUUGACUUCUCUGUUCUGUAGUGUGUAUCUGUGAAAAGUUGUUUUGUGUUGCAACAGUAGCAAAUAUAGCAACUCAAAACAACCCUUCAUACAUAUAUACAGCGGAACAGAGAAGUUAGUUAAUAAAACAAUAUUAUUUAUUAAAAGGAAAGGAACAUUAUUUUUUCUUAUGCCCAUUCAAUUUUUUCUAAUUGGAGGAUGGGGUUUAAAAGAAGUCUUGGCUAUAGAUAUUUUAAAUGUUCAAAAGAAAGUUUUAAUUUGAUCUAAACAUUUAACCAACGUUGUAAACAUGUGACAAAAAUUAUGUCAUUAACUGUUCGAGUGGAUGUUGUUAAUUCCCAAAAUGCAAGUACCCUUUUUUUGCAACUCCAUGGUUUCAGGUUCAGUCCCACAAUAUAGAUCAUCAGCCAAGCGUCUUCUGUUAUUAUCCUGGACCGACCAAUACAAUGUGACUGAAUUUAAUAGAAGGAAACUGUGUGGAAGCCCAUCAUAUAUAUAUAUCAUAUAUAUUUAUAUAUAUAUAUAUAUAUAUAUAUAUAUAUAUAUAUAUAUAUAUAAUAUGUAUGUAUGUGUCUGUCCCCUUCUCCACUUGACAACCAGCGUUGGUUUGUUUACGUCCAUGUAGCUUAUUGGUUCAGCAAAAGAGACUGAUAGGAUAACUAUCAGACUUUAAGAAAAAUACUGGGGUCAUUUUGUUUGAUUAAACUCUUCAAGGUGGUACCCCAGCAUGGUUGCAGUCCAGUUGACUGAAACAAGUGAAUGACAAAGAUAUUAUCGAUAUUUUUAUCUGGAUUCUACAUGGCAUUGUAAAUACCUUAGCAGAAAUAGUUCUGUUAUGUCAUUGAAAUACAUCCACAAGCUUCAUUGAGAAAGUUAAAAUCUCCACAUAUUGGAUGUAGUUUCCAAAGGCUGAAUAAAGUUAUUUCUGCCAUGAAAUACACGGAGUUAUCCCCCUUUUUACUUAAAAUCUUAAUUUGCUUCUGUUUGUUUUUCUGUCUUUCUUUACUCAACUGAAUCCUUCAUGAAUCAGUCUUUCACAAAGUACUAUUUAAAACCAGUGCCUAUUCACAAAGAAAGACCCUUGCUUACAGAUUUUGCUAUACCUAUAUAAAGUAUUAUAAUUAUCUACAAACACACAUAUGCACUUAAUUCUUCAUAGAUGUUGAUCUCACACACACAUACAUGCUUGCUCUUAUUUUCUAUUAAUCCUUUGCCUGUUCCUAAGCAUUUUCAUAUGGUUAUUCUAAACGUCCAUGAUUGUUUUUAAACUUUCAAUUAUUCUAUGUCUCAUACGUUCUGGGUAGUAUAAAGCUUUCCUUUCAUAAGUCUAAACAUUGAGAAUGUGUACCAUAUAUGACACAUGGACACCGGAGAAAUAAAUCCUGUGUAUCCCAUGUUAUACAAAGGACAAGCAAAGGGUUAAUUUAGUAUCAGAGUCCUCAAGUUUAUUUACCCAGUUACACACUUAUUUCUUCAAGUCAUCCAUUUUAUUUACUUAUUAUGGGUUCAUUGAAUUUUAACUACUAUGAAAACCUUUCUUUCUUGGUCUACUUUAUGCAAUAAGCUUUUAGUUACAGAACUGCACAGCUGUCUGUCAGUUAAUACAGUUAUGGGGUUUGUUUGUAUUUCAUAACAGGGAAAUAACAUUCUAAUUUGAUAAUUAUAUUUUUCUUAUUUUUCAUUGUUAUCAUUGUAUUUUAGGGGAAAAAAAAUUUUUUUUUUGUAAAGUUGGAAAUUAUCAAAAUCAAAAUUCUAUUUUAUAUCUAAAUUUAUAAUAUACGAUAUGCAUAGAAUAUGUGUGGAAUUUUCUAUGAUGCAUAGAAUAUGUGUGACAAAAUUGCUUUUUGGAUAUCAAGGUAUUGUAAAAAAAAAAAAAAAAAUUAAAUUGUUGAAAGACUAAUGUUUCUCUUUGAGUAUUUUUCCCUCUCUACAGGAAUAAUUCCAUUCAA